Molecule: ribosomal RNA, 163 nt
Filed under: uncultured bacterium
Lineage: Bacteria
Description: partial 16S rRNA
Rfam family: Bacterial small subunit ribosomal RNA
Source: RNAcentral
UAGGGAUCUUCCACAAUGGGCGAAAGCCUGAUGGAGCAACGCCGCGUGUGUGAUGAAGGGUUUCGGCUCGUAAAACACUGUUGUAAGAGAAGAAUGACAUUGAGAGUAACUGUUCAAUGUGUGACGGUAUCUUACCAGAAAGGAACGGCUAAAUACGUGCCAG